Pipra filicauda (Wire-tailed manakin) is the source of this 376-nucleotide long non-coding RNA. RefSeq lists it as uncharacterized. Lineage: Eukaryota; Metazoa; Chordata; Aves; Passeriformes; Pipridae. The transcript is spliced from 2 exons. The record is from RefSeq and is a predicted model, not a curated record.
GAAUUAUCGCACAGAGGCGAGCGUAACAUCUUUGUGGGAUGUGGACUCUUCCAGACUCUUUGUCCUCCAUGGGACUCUGGUGUUAUGAUGAUUCUGACCAGCUACUCCUGCAAUCUCUAGGGAAGCAAAUGUCCCCUCGGCUGGAUCCAAUACAUGCUCUUGUUCAUCAGCAAGCGCCUGCCUAAUACGACACAUCAUCAUCUGUCUCCAGUUUUCCAGAGCCUCGGGCGGAUACUCAUUUCAUCACCUCCCCAUUUUUCCUGUUUGGAACAGAAGACUUGCCACCACACUUCUGGCUCCAGUGUUGCUCUCUGAAAGGAAGCUGGGCCAGACAUGCCACUGCUUCAGAAACUCAACACGACCUUGUUUAAUGCCA